CCAGACUCCUACGGGAGGCAGCAGUGGGGAAUAUUGCACAAUGGGGGGAACCCUGAUGCAGCGACGCCGCGUGAGUGAAGAAGUAUUUCGGUAUGUAAAGCUCUAUCAGCAGGGAAGAAAAUGACGGUACCUGACUAAGAGGCCCCGGCUAACUACGUGCCAGCAGCCGCGGUAAUACGUAGGGGGCAAGCGUUAUCCGGAUUUACUGGGUGUAAAGGGAGCGUAGACGGUUAUGCAAGUCUGAAGUGAAAGCCCAAGGCUCAACCAUGGGACUGCUCUGGAAACUGUAAGGCUGGAGUGCGGGAGGGGCAGGCGGAAUUCCUGGUGUAGCGGUGAAAUGCGUAGAUAUCAGGAGGAACACCGGCGGCGAAGGCGGCCUGCUGGACCGUAACUGACGUUGAGGCUCGAAAGCGUGGGGAGCAAACAGGAUUAGAUACCCUAGUAACG
This 447-nucleotide ribosomal RNA is filed under the name uncultured bacterium. Its description in RNAcentral is "bacterial SSU rRNA". It matches the Rfam family "Bacterial small subunit ribosomal RNA", at positions 331 to 793 of the family's 1533-position model. The record is from RNAcentral.